This 219-nucleotide unclassified non-coding RNA is filed under the name uncultured Gammaproteobacteria bacterium. Its description in RNAcentral is "contains 16S-23S intergenic spacer region". Lineage: Bacteria; Pseudomonadati; Pseudomonadota; Gammaproteobacteria. The record is from RNAcentral.
UCCGGUUUGUCACCGGCAGUCUCCCUAGAGUGCCCUUGCGUAGCAACUAGGGACAAGGGUUGCGCUCGUUGCGGGACUUAACCCAACAUCUCACGACACGAGCUGACGACAGCCAUGCAGCACCUGUGUUACGGCUCCCUUUCGGGCACACCCCCAUCUCUGGAGGCUUCCGUACAUGUCAAGGGUAGGUAAGGUGGGGAUGACGUCGUACACCUGAAC